UACGUAGGUGGCGAGCGUUAUCCGGAAUGAUUGGGCGUAAAGGGUGCGUAGGCGGCCUGCUAAGUCUGGAGUGAAAGGUACCGGCUCAACCGGUACAGGCUCUGGAAACUGGCGGGCUAGAGAGCAGGAGAGGGCGGUGGAACUCCAUGUGUAGCGGUGAAAUGCGUAGAGAUAUGGAGGAACACCAGUGGCGAAAGGCGGCUUCCUGGUCUGCAACUGACACUGAGGCGCGAAAGCGUGGGGAGCAAACAGG
This 253-nucleotide ribosomal RNA is filed under the name uncultured bacterium. RNAcentral describes it as "partial 16S ribosomal RNA". It matches the Rfam family "Bacterial small subunit ribosomal RNA", at positions 524 to 776 of the family's 1533-position model. The record is from RNAcentral.